UGGACAAAUGUUAAAAAAAAUAAAUAAAUUUAGAUUGCUUAUGAAGUUAUUCAAAUUAUUGAGCUGGGACUGCGUUUUCAUCGAGAAUUUGUUUCUUGGUCUGUGAUGUACAAAGUAAGAUUGUAUGGAGUAAACAGUGAUAAGGACAGCAUUUUUGUAUAUGGAUUAUCUAAAAGUGGUUCUGAUUGGAAAAUUUUUCAUUUCUUGAAUGCAUAUAUUGACUUUCUAUACAUUCUGCACAUUGCAUAACAGAAAUUUUAGAAAAAGUUAAGUUUGCAUGGACUUAUGACAACCGUGGUAUUUUUUUAUGGACAGUAUCAAAAUCAGCAAGAAGGAACUGACGUAUAGAAUUUUUAUGUAGAAUAAUUACAGCAUAUCGAUGGAAUUUAUUCAUCAGGAGACUAUCGAUGGUGUGACAGUUAGUUCGACACAUGUUGUCUCGUGGAUGAGCAAGUAUCAAAUGUUGGCGUUUAUCUGGAAAAUUAAUAAUAACGAAUUGAGAAUCAAACUUGUUGGCUGUAUAUAAAUGGUUUCGAUCGUUUGGCAGAAGAGAACGUGUCUGAAAUAGUCUAUACAAAUGCCAACACUGUGGAAUUAAUUCGACGAGUAAUCAAUGCAUCUAAAAUUUACUAUGAUUAUCACAUUAUACUGUUAAUGUUAGAUUAUUUGAUAUUUUAGCUAUAAAAAGAAACGUAAUUAUAAAAUAAUUUUAUUUAUCACA
This is a long non-coding RNA of Acromyrmex echinatior (Panamanian leafcutter ant), 721 nucleotides long. NCBI's taxonomy places the organism in Eukaryota, Metazoa, Arthropoda, Insecta, Hymenoptera, Formicidae. The record is from RefSeq and is a predicted model, not a curated record.